RNAcentral lists this ribosomal RNA (433 nucleotides) under uncultured bacterium. RNAcentral describes it as "partial 16S ribosomal RNA". It matches the Rfam family "Bacterial small subunit ribosomal RNA", at positions 29 to 507 of the family's 1533-position model. The record is from RNAcentral.
AACGAACGCUGGCGGCAGGCCUAACACAUGCAAGUCGAGCGAGGACUUCGGUCCUAGCGGCGGACGGGUGAGUAACGCGUGGGAACGUGCCCUUUGCUUCGGAAUAGCCCUGGGAAACUGGGAGUAAUACCGGAUGAGCCCUUUGAGGGAAAGAUUUAUCGGCGAAGGAUCGGCCCGCGUUGGAUUAGGUAGUUGGUGGGGUAAUGGCCUACCAAGCCGACGAUCCAUAGCUGGUUUGAGAGGAUGAUCAGCCACACUGGGACUGAGACACGGCCCAGACUCCUACGGGAGGCAGCAGUGGGGAAUCUUAGACAAUGGGGGAAACCCUGAUCUAGCCAUGCCGCGUGAGCGAUGAAGGCCUUAGGGUUGUAAAGCUCUUUCAGCUGGGAAGAUAAUGACGGUACCAGCAGAAGAAGCCCCGGCUAACUCCGUG